RNAcentral lists this ribosomal RNA (239 nucleotides) under uncultured Lactobacillus sp. Its description in RNAcentral is "partial 16S ribosomal RNA". It matches the Rfam family "Bacterial small subunit ribosomal RNA", at positions 125 to 356 of the family's 1533-position model. The record is from RNAcentral. Lineage: Bacteria; Bacillati; Bacillota; Bacilli; Lactobacillales; Lactobacillaceae.
CCGUAGCCCAAGAGAUCGGGAUAACACCUGGAAACAGAUGCUAAUACCGGAUAACAACAGAUGAUGCCUAUCAACUGUUUAAAAGAUGGUUCUGCUAUCACUCUUGGAUGGACCUGCGGNGCAUUAGCUAGUUGGUAGGGUAACGGCCUACCAAGGCGAUGAUGCAUAGCCGAGUUGAGAGACUGAUCGGCCACAUUGGGACUGAGACACGGCCCAAACUCCUACGGGAGGCAGCAGCG